This 406-nucleotide ribosomal RNA is filed under the name uncultured bacterium. RNAcentral's name for it is "partial 16S ribosomal RNA". It matches the Rfam family "Bacterial small subunit ribosomal RNA", at positions 30 to 526 of the family's 1533-position model. The record is from RNAcentral.
AUUGAACGCUGGCGGCAGGCCUAACACAUGCAAGUCGAGCGAGUGGCGGACGGGUGAGUAAUGUCUGGGAAACUGCCCGGUGGAGGGGGAUAACUACUGGAAACGGUAGCUAAUACCGCAUACCAUCGGAUGUGCCCAGAUGGGAUUAGCUAGUCGGUGGGGUAACGGCUCACCUAGGCGACGAUCCCUAGCUGGGCUAAGAGGAUGACCAGCCAUACUGGAACUGAGACACGGGCCAGACUCCUACGUGAGGCAGCAGUGGGGAAUAUUGCACAAUGGGAGCAAGCCUGAUGCAGCCAUGCCGCGUGUAUGAAGAAGGCCUUCGGGUUGUAAAGUACUUUCAGCGAGGAGGCGUUACUCGCAGAAGAAGCACCGGCUAACUCCGUGCCAGCAGCCGCGGUAAUUC